CACAUAUUCAUGAUAAUGAAUAAUCCAUUCCUUGGUUUGAAACAAAGAACCUGCCCUUUACUAAGUAAAGCCAUUUUUACAGUUAAGAUUGUAAAUACACGAAAUUUGCAACUUCAAUGGUAUUGUACCACCAAUAAGAAUAUAAAACCACAAUUAAAAUCUCCCGUCUUACUCCAAUGAUAACCAUAGGUAACGUAGAGUUUGGAACCCUGAACCAACUGCCGGUGAUAAGCCGGAUCAGUACUGCUGGAACUUGUAACAUGAAUACUUCCAGUUUUGGGUGCCUCAAAUGACUGUCAUGGCAAGGAACACCACCCAGUGUGGUUGGUUCCUUACUCUCCCUCUUAAGGGAGAGGUCUUUAGUUCGAGUCCUCAUGGAGGGGGUGCUCGACUCAUGUUGUAACUACUAACAAGUACCAACUAACCCCUAACAUCCUACCGUAUGGCAGAAAAAAGAAAAAAAGAGAUUAUAAAGCUACAAAUACUAUUUCAGUUGUCAAUUAAUGAACUAAAUAUUGAAGCAUCCGAUUGCAUUUGCCCGGUGGAAAAACAAUAGGCCAACAACAUAAUCUCCGCUCCAUUUUAUUAUCGGCAACGUAUAGCGCUGAAGGUGCUACCGAAAAAGCGCCCCAGAGACUCUAAUUUGUUGCCUUUAAGUGAGAAUUUUCCAACCGUACCAACGGAGUAAACACCUACCCCCAAACAACUAAUAUUGCAAAACAAGUCAGACAACUGUUUACAAACAAUCAGAUAAUAAAAAACUGUUAAUGAAAAAAAACAAAAGGACUCGUCAUUUUCACCCCUUGAAAAUAAUUGGGUGGGCUAUGUUUCGAGAACAUAAAAUAUGGGGUCUAUUGAAAAAAAUAAUGUUAGAAAGCCAUCUUGCAAAGAGGUUUCUAAUAAGUUUCCAAACAGGCUUAUCAUAACACAAAUCUGCAAAAACAAGCGACCAAAGCAACAAACACAACCUCAAAACACCACUCCGGACACGGUGUCCAGAGCCCUUCGAUGCAUGUGUACUCCAGAUGCUAUUUGAAUCCGGAGUUCUAUUUUAAAGUUGUGUUUAAAGACUUUUUGAAAACAAAAUUGAGGUCCUUUUAGAUCACUUUGUUUGCAAGGAAAUCCCUCAAAAAAUGGGACUCGGGAUGCUGUAGUCCACCCCGCACUACAACAUCUGUUGCGGCCGAUCUAGCCGUCCAUUUCAGCACGGACAGCUCGGAUUUAGUCUGAACAAUGGACGGACGGUCCCAUUGUUCGGACCCAAGUGAAAGAAGGCUCAGAGAGUAAUUAAAAAAAUGCAAUCAUCAAUACUUCAUAGAUGGAACAAUAUAUAUUUCCUCGUCACUGCCUCAAUAACUACUUUUCACAAACGAGCCAAAAAGAAAAAAGAAGAGCAAAUUAAACACUCUGUUAUUAGAUACAUGAUCGUAUUGAGAUGAACUUUAGGAUCUAGACCUUGAAUUUUGUAACCAUUAAGAGGAAGAUUGGACUCAUCUGACCUCGCAAACACUGCACUUGAGAAGACGGUGGCGUUGAGAAGAGAAGGGAUGAGC
Molecule: long non-coding RNA, 1553 nt
Organism: Rhododendron vialii
Lineage: Eukaryota; Viridiplantae; Streptophyta; Magnoliopsida; Ericales; Ericaceae
Exons: 2
Source: RefSeq, a predicted model, not a curated record